This is a non-coding RNA of Triticum urartu, 1912 nucleotides long. Lineage: Eukaryota; Viridiplantae; Streptophyta; Magnoliopsida; Poales; Poaceae. The record is from RefSeq and is a predicted model, not a curated record.
GAGAAGACACAAUCAUUCGUAGGUUUGUGGGAUCUGCUGUUGUUGAUGAGCCUAAAGUGGAAAAUGCAUGCCACCAUGGGUUAGUUGAUCCAACUAUCAAUUUGAAGGAGGCUAUGUCUGAUAUAAACAACAUGUUUGGAAAACCACUGAACUUCCAGGAUGGUAAAAAACCAAACAGGAAAACGAAUGCAGUAUCAGAGAGAAAAGCAGCUCCUGUUUCUGGUUUCUCCAUAUUAGCUGAUGAUGACAUUAGCAAGGACCCUGCUGCUAAAGACAAAUCAAGCAAUUCCUGUACAUUUGGAUCUGAGAGUGGUCUAUUUGAGCCCACUAUCACUACCCGUGACGUCAUGUCGGAGAUAAAUGAUAUGUUUGGAAUGUCACUUGACUUCUAAGGCACUUGCUUAGAGGGAAUUUAAUUAUUCAAAAGGUGCAGAAGAUGCACAGAAAAUGUUACAAGAUCACCCCUCUGGUGAUGCAGGGUGCAGAAACCGGGAAUGAUACCAUGCCUGUGGUGUUCUCGCUGAUAUCAUAAUUUUCCAGGAUAUUUUCCACAAAAUGAGCUUCCAGAUCUUUGUUUAGCACCAGGCCCAUGAGUUUUGUACCAUAUGAAUGCUGGUAUAAGUUAAAUUGUUCCCUCAGGAUUUGAGGUCACAGAACAUUUUGUUCUCCCCACUGUAUUUUGUUCAUUAGAUCCUUGGCUAGCAUUGGUGAUGCUGCCCAUUACAAUGACUUUCUCUUUGUUGGAACUUGGAAGUCACUGCCAGUCCAUUAUCAAACUCUGUCCCCGCUUUGCUUGUGUUUUUGCUGCUUGUACUGAAGGAAUUUUACAGAAUAAAAAAUACAGUUCCAAACGGUUUCAAUUGGGGAGACUGACGUGAAACAACUAGUGCACUAGCAUCAAGGAUCAAAGCCUACAGUAAGAAAAAAAUAUUUGGCAUAUUUAGAUAGAUUCAUGGCUGCCCGGUGUUGCCAGAUGACCACUCUUUCGUGAGUGAAUCCAUGGUGAUUGCUGCAGGUGCUGCGGUCUUGUCGCUUCUAUGCUGAGUCAGUAGGCCACCACACCUCCAUCUGGGUUCAGGUACGCACUUACAUAUGCAGUGUAUUUAGAUUCAGUUGUCACAAAGAUGCAUCCAUCAACAACAGAGCUUAAUCUCUAGAGAUACAAAGAAAAAAGGGAAAGGAACGAUAGGUAGGCAGUAUGAAUACUACUACUAGUCCAGUCCAUGCAUGGCUUCCUGGGUCACGAAAGCGUACAUGUCCUGGCUAUAAAUCUCCACUGUACAUACACAUGCAGGGUUCCCAAAUUUGCAUGAAUUUUACAGGAAUUCAACAGGGUCCAGUGAAAAAAAAAUACCGUGAAUGUUUUGAUUAAGAUUUUCACUUUUUAUGCUAGAGAAAAAUCAUGGUAGCUUACAGAUAGUUAGAAUUAAGUUUCAGGAACGUACGCACAAACGAAUAUGGUGGUCCAGAUUUUUGGUUUAUGAACACUAGGCUGCAUGUAAACCAAUGCUUGGCGUUGUCGAACUACAUUUUUCACAAUAAGAAACACGAUGUUUAAAAAAAUUAAAGGAUGGGAGGAGGAACUGAUUGGUACGGACGUACAGUAUAUCAGUUGCAUGAAAAGAUACGUAUACUGUGAGAUUCUUUGGUCCAGACGAACCUAGAUUCAGCAAAAUAUUUCUAGCCUAGUAAGUGUGAAUCGAUCUGUAGUAUUAUUGGUGCCGUUCCCUUUCUGAAGGCUGCUGAAGAAUCUUUCUCAUUGUCCUUAUGGUGUCAAGAUAUGAUUGGUGUGGAUGGUGAUUGUUGUAGUUUGUCGAUCGCUGUUUAGAUCAUUUUGUUUCUUUUCCUUUUUCAUCGCUUAGGCAUAGCUUUGGUCUUUUGCCUACGUGUUUAUUGGUGUUUUGGCUGUGUG